AUUUAAUUCAACAUACAAUAUCCCAUAUUUUUGGAUUAUUAUAAAAGUUUAUGCCUUAUUCAUGCAAUAUAUUUAAUAAAUGACGUAAUUAAGCUGUAUAACUGACGUAUAAACCUACUCUUGGAUUCUCGCUCAGAAGCUUGAAAUUUAAGAACAAGUGGGUAUUCAACAACUACUUUUUAAAAUAGAAGAUAAAAUUUCUUUAGAAUUAUAAUAAUAUUGAUAGAGACAACAGCUAGUGGCCCAAAGAAUUUAUAGGAUUGAUGUUAUCCUAAUAAUGUUUAGGUCCAAAAAGAAAAGUUGCACAAUACAAAGAGAACAUAUAUACAGACG
RNAcentral lists this unclassified non-coding RNA (333 nucleotides) under Hevea brasiliensis (rubber tree). Lineage: Eukaryota; Viridiplantae; Streptophyta; Magnoliopsida; Malpighiales; Euphorbiaceae. The record is from RNAcentral.